RNAcentral lists this transfer RNA (67 nucleotides) under Ovis aries (sheep). It matches the Rfam family "tRNA". Rfam says of the family: Transfer RNA (tRNA) molecules are approximately 80 nucleotides in length. Their secondary structure includes four short double-helical elements and three loops (D, anti-codon, and T loops). Lineage: Eukaryota; Metazoa; Chordata; Mammalia; Artiodactyla; Bovidae. The record is from Rfam by way of RNAcentral.
ACUCUAGUGGCUCAGACGGUAGAGCAUCUGUCUGCAAUGCAGAAGACCCAUGUUCGAUCCCUGAGUU